CCUGCCAAGCCUCUUAAUAAAGCUCAAAUAGGCAGGU
Small RNA from Bacteroidales bacterium Barb7, 37 nucleotides. It matches the Rfam family "abiF RNA". The record is from Rfam. NCBI's taxonomy places the organism in Bacteria, Pseudomonadati, Bacteroidota, Bacteroidia, Bacteroidales.